GAUGAACGCUGGCGGCGUGCUUAACACAUGCAAGUCGAGCGAGUGAGUUCUUCGGAACGAUCUAGCGGCGGACGGGUGAGUAACACGUGGGCAACCUGCCUCAUAGAGGGGAAUAGCCUCCCGAAAGGGAGAUUAAUACCGCAUAAAAUUAUCGAGUGGCAUCACAUGAUAAUCAAAGGAGUAAUCCGCUAUGAAAUGGGCCCGCGGCGCAUUAGCUAGUUGGUGAGGUAACGGCUCACCAAGGCGACGAUGCGUAGCCGACCUGGGAGGGUGAUCGGCCACAUUGGGACUGAGACACGGCCCAGACUCCUACGGGAGGCAGCAGUGGGGAAUAUUGCACAAUGGGGGAAACCCUGAUGCAGCAACGCCGCGUGAGUGAUGAAGGUCUUCGGAUUGUAAAGCUCUGUCUUUGGGGACGAUAAUGACGGUACCCAAGGAGGAAGCCACGGCUAACUACGUGCCAGCAGCCGCCGUAA
This 476-nucleotide ribosomal RNA is filed under the name uncultured bacterium. RNAcentral describes it as "partial 16S ribosomal RNA". It matches the Rfam family "Bacterial small subunit ribosomal RNA", at positions 28 to 523 of the family's 1533-position model. The record is from RNAcentral.